AUGUUGUGAGUGUGAGUCUAUGAGAAUUCGGUGUUUGUUCCUUGUAUGUGAGAGUGGGGAUGAGAUGGUGUGUGUGUUUUGUUGUUAUUGAAGAUGUAAGUCGUACGGAUAAACUACAGCGAUGUGCGUAAUCAAAUAUCACAGAAACGAUGUAUUUCAUCGGUAAAGAUUUUACUGCACUGAGAAUAUAUAAUAUUGGUGUCGACAGACCGGGAACAAGUGUUGUAGUAUUCCCAAGUGGGCUGCGGCACUUUUGAGAACGCUCAAAUUGGUUGCGCCCUUUUCAAAUGGCACUCAACUUUUAAGUAACUACUUUACCAACAACGCAAGGCUGUGUUGCUGAUUUUGUAGUAUGGAGCUGCAGAAACUGUGCAUAAUUGUGAUAGCUAUGAAAAUAGUAUGAGACAUAAUACCAUCACGUCAUGCACAGAGAAUCCAGAGGAGCCCUCCAUUCUCACAACAGUAAACAUCAAGAUGAAGAAAUACUAUCAGUUAGUUUUGGUGAUUGUGUCUGUGGUUUUCAGAGAAUAAAUAUAGCUGCAGUUUAUUUGUGCUACUAUUCUGUACGAUACGUGAUCUUGAGGAGCAAAAGUGUACAUUGAGUAUUGGUGACAGUGAAGAAGUCAUCUUUGAGGGGAAGAGGAAAGGGAGAUGUGCAGAAUUGAAUGGAAGAACUGUAACUUAUUAAUUGUGAGUUUAUUAUGUAUGGGGAGUAGAAAGGGUAUGUAGAAGCAAGGCAAAUAACACUGCUACAUGUGUUGGGAAGAACUGCACCUUGCCAGCAUAGCAGCUGUGUGGCCUUGUUAUUGAAAGGAAAGAAUACGAUAAUAUUGAAAUUGAGUCGAUAUCCCUUUAUACUCAGAGUUGUCACUAUCAGCCGUCUAUGUUCACUGUAAAUUUUGGAUUUUUGGGUAUUAAGUAAAUAGAACUGCUCAUAAGUGCCUACGUAGUUGCUGAUGGAAGUCUUUUCAUAUUGAUCUACAGUGGGACUAUUGUUUUAGUUUGGUGAAGAUUAAGUAACAAAUUUAGUGUAACAUAGUGUCAAAUAUUAACAUUCUUUUGCUGUGGGAUGGUACUAAUGUUACAAAUGUACUGAAGCUGUCAUCGUAAAUAUCAUUUUAAUGAAGGAAAACUAUAAUUAUAGCCAAUAAGAAAUGUACUAGCAGAAAACGGCUCCCGUCCCAGUUCAGAGACCUUCUAGAUGUUGGGCAACCAUAAUCAUAUGAAUGCCUUAUUUUCUAUAAAUAUAAUAUUACUGACAGAGAAUUUUUGGACAAUCAACAUGUUUACUGUGUAGAAUUUGGCUAACCAGGCCUUGGAUCAUGACUGCACGGCUCUAUGCACAUUUGUAGCUGAAGUGAGUAGUAUAAAGUUGCAGUAGAACCUUUCUACAAUUUUUGAUACUGAAAUGCUUUGUUAGUAAUUGUCUUGUAUAUGCAUAAAGACAGAAAAAACUCAUUCUUGUCAUAUUUUUUGCAUUUUAUGUAUUUUGUUGUUGUGUAAUGUACAGUUUUGCUAUUAAAGUUAUUAAAAAUA
This 1536-nucleotide unclassified non-coding RNA is filed under the name Schistocerca americana (American grasshopper). RNAcentral describes it as "uncharacterized LOC124615312, transcript variant X1". Lineage: Eukaryota; Metazoa; Arthropoda; Insecta; Orthoptera; Acrididae. The record is from RNAcentral.